This 465-nucleotide ribosomal RNA is filed under the name uncultured bacterium. Its description in RNAcentral is "partial 16S ribosomal RNA". It matches the Rfam family "Bacterial small subunit ribosomal RNA", at positions 335 to 795 of the family's 1533-position model. The record is from RNAcentral.
ACUACGUGAGGCAGCAGUAGGGAAUCUUCGGCAAUGGACGAAAGUCUGACCGAGCAACGCCGCGUGAGUGAAGAAGGUUUUCGGAUCGUAAAACUCUGUUGGUAGAGAAGAACGUUGGUGAGAGUGGAAAGCUCAUCAAGUGACGGUAACUACCCAGAAAGGGACGGCUAACUACGUGCCAGCAGCCUCGGUAAUACGUAGGUCCCGAGCGUUGUCCGGAUUUAUUGGGGGUAAAGCGAGGGCAGGUGGUUUAUUAAGUCUGGUGUAAAAGGGAGUGGCUCAACCACUGUAUGCAUUGGAGACUGGUAGACUUGUGUGCAGGAGAGGAGAGUGGAAUGCCAGGUGUAGCGGUGAAAUGCGUAGAUAUAUGGAGGAACACCGGUGGCGAAAGAGGCUCUCUGGCCUGUAACUGACACUGAGGCUCGAAAGCGUGGGGAGCGAACAGGAUUAGAUACCCUUGUAGUC